This is a long non-coding RNA of Hevea brasiliensis (rubber tree), 1157 nucleotides long. RefSeq lists it as uncharacterized. The transcript is spliced from 3 exons. The record is from RefSeq and is a predicted model, not a curated record. Lineage: Eukaryota; Viridiplantae; Streptophyta; Magnoliopsida; Malpighiales; Euphorbiaceae.
CAGCCAGAGAAAACCUCUCCCUUUCUGGGUUUAUUACCACCCUGUGUAUUGGGCUCUUGAACAAUCCAUUGCUCAAUAUCUGUGUAUAUCAUACACAAUCAGUUUGGUUCAAAAGAAAAAAUGAAUUCUGAUAUUUUUAGGAAUUGAAGACCUUCCACUUCUUUGUCUUGAAGAACAAUGGUGAUUACUGAUCCAUCAGAAUGUGAUUUCAGGCCAAGAACUAGAUGAUGCCUUGAACAUGGAGGAAAGAAGUUGAAUCUUGCCUGCAUUAUUGCCCUAGCUCCAUAUUUGUCUAAAAAGCAGUUGUUUUCCAAGUUCAGUGACCUAGCCAUGGCCUUGAGGACGACCUCAGUUAUCAGCCGUAACUUAGAGGACUUUCUGGCCAAUAUCUGAGCUGUCUCUGGUCUUCUGGGCUUGCUAGAAGAUAUAGUCGGUCAUUCCAAUCAAGCACUUGAUCUUCUGAAAGAAUCAUGUCAUUCCCAUAACCUUCCAUGGCGUCAACUUCUCUGGCAUAUUUCUGCUUCUCUUCCAUGGGAAGAGCAAAGAAUUUCUUGGUAGCUAACCGCACUUCGUCCAAGAACGAACUUGUCAUCCCAUGAUUUAUUGACUGAGAAAUUCAAUGAUGAGAAGGCAUAAGUGAUGAAUCCAUAUGAGAAAAGGCAAGUAGUAUACACGUUAAUAAAACCAGACCAUAAAGCAGCCACAUGAGCUGAGAGCAGAAUGGAGUUUUUCAAGUUCUUCUCUGCAGAUCGAUGUUGGAGAAGCAAGAAGACCAAUAUCAAUAAUUGGAAUCUUCAUCAGUGGAAGAGAAGAAGUGUCUAGGACUUCACCAACACCAUCUUUGUAGCAAUAUCUUCCUGGUGGUUCUCCGCCUUUAUUGGCUACCAAUUCUUGGAGACACUCUGAUAUUGGUUCUGCCUUUGCAGGAGGAGAGGGAGGAUGGUCAGCCAUGCUUUUGCAAGGGUCUGUGAUGCAGCAACUGAGAGAUAAGAUUGCUUAGUUAUCUGCUGAGGUCAACGAGACCUCUCUGCAUAUGCUUAAGUGAUACAACUGGGCUGGCAUGGGCUGAUUAGUUGGCAAUUAGUUUUGGUUUCUUCUACCUAUUCUAUUGUCAUAUUUUUGUCUUCUUGUACUUUGUAGAAAUCUCUUCUUGAUUA